GUGAGUCAUCGAAUCUUUGAACGCAAAUUGCACUCUCUGGUAUUCCAAGAGAGUAUGCCUGUUUGAGGGUUAAUUUAAUUAAAAUCGAUUGUGUUGCUUUUUGAGGUAACGCUUUCGGAAUUGAACCUUUCUUAACCUCCGGUUAAGUGGUUUAAAAUUUAUCUGGGCGAUUUUUAACGCGUACUUAAGACACGUUUUUUAUACGUUUUAAAACGCCGAACUUUUAUUAGAUAUGACCGUUCGGUUACAUGUCUAUAGCAUCAUUUCAUUUAUUAACCUCAAAUCAGGUAAGAUUACCCG
This 300-nucleotide unclassified non-coding RNA is filed under the name uncultured Glomeromycotina. RNAcentral describes it as "sequence contains 5.8S rRNA gene, ITS2". The stretch from base 1 to 72 matches the Rfam family "5.8S ribosomal RNA", at positions 84 to 154 of the family's 154-position model. Lineage: Eukaryota; Fungi; Glomeromycota. The record is from RNAcentral.